This 468-nucleotide ribosomal RNA is filed under the name uncultured bacterium. RNAcentral describes it as "partial 16S ribosomal RNA". It matches the Rfam family "Bacterial small subunit ribosomal RNA", at positions 28 to 507 of the family's 1533-position model. The record is from RNAcentral.
GACGAACGCUGGCGGCGUGCUUAACACAUGCAAGUCGAACGGAAAGGCCCUGCUUUUGUGGGGUGCUCGAGUGGCGAACGGGUGAGUAACACGUGAGUAACCUGCCCUUGACUUUGGGAUAACUUCAGGAAACUGGGGCUAAUACCGGAUAGGAGCUCCUGCUGCAUGGUGGGGGUUGGAAAGUUUCGGCGGUUGGGGAUGGACUCGCGGCUUAUCAGCUUGUUGGUGGGGUAGUGGCUUACCAAGGCUUUGACGGGUAGCCGGCCUGAGAGGGUGACCGGACAAAUUGGGACGGAGAUACGGCCCAGACUCGUACGGGAGGCAGCAGUGGGGAAGAUUGCACAAUGGGCGGAAGCCUGAUGCAGCAACGCCGCGUGCGGGAUGACGGCCUUCGGGUUGUAAACCGCUGUCGCCUGUGACGAAGCGUGAGUGACGGUAAUGGGUAAAGAAGCACCGGCUAACUACGUG